UGCCAGCCGCCGCGGUAACACGGGGGGCGCAAGCGUUAUUCGGAAUUAUUGGGCGUAAAGGGCGCGCAGGCGGUCUUGUCCGUCAGGUGUGAAAGCCCAGGGCUCAACCCUGGAAUUGCAUUCGAUACUGCAUAACUAGAGUAUGGUAGAGGGAAGUGGAAUUUCCGGUGUAGCGGUGAAAUGCGUAGAUAUCGGAAGGAACACCAGUGGCGAAGGCGACUUCCUGGGCCAAUACUGACGCUGAGGUGCGAAAGCGUGGGGAGCAAACAGGAUUAGAUA
This 279-nucleotide ribosomal RNA is filed under the name uncultured bacterium. Its description in RNAcentral is "partial 16S ribosomal RNA". It matches the Rfam family "Bacterial small subunit ribosomal RNA", at positions 506 to 784 of the family's 1533-position model. The record is from RNAcentral.